AUACGGAGGGGGUUAGCGUUGUUCGGAAUUACUGGGCGUAAAGCGCACGUAGGCGGACUGGGAAGUUGGGGGUGAAAUCCCGGGGCUCAACCCCGGAACUGCCUCCAAAACUUCCAAUCUAGAGAUCGAGAGAGGUAAGUGGAAUUCCUAGUGUAGAGGUGAAAUUCGUAGAUAUUAGGAGGAACACCAGUGGCGAAGGCGGCUUACUGGCUCGAUACUGACGCUGAGGUGCGAAAGCGUGGGGAGCAAACAGGAUUAGAUACCCUAGUAGUCC
Molecule: ribosomal RNA, 274 nt
Filed under: uncultured bacterium
Lineage: Bacteria
Description: partial 16S ribosomal RNA
Rfam family: Bacterial small subunit ribosomal RNA
Source: RNAcentral